GAUCAUGGCUCAGGACGAACGCUGGCGGCGUGCUUAACACAUGCAAGUCGAACGAGAAUCACUGGAAGGAGUUUUCGGACAACGGAAGGUGAGGACAGUGGCGGACGGGUGAGUAACGCGUGAGGAACCUGCCUUUCAGAGGGGGACAACAGUUGGAAACGACUGCUAAUACCGCAUGACACAUAGAGACCGCAUGGUUUUUAUGUCAAAGAUUUAUCGCUGAAAGNUGGCCUCGCGU
This 238-nucleotide ribosomal RNA is filed under the name uncultured bacterium. Its description in RNAcentral is "partial 16S ribosomal RNA". It matches the Rfam family "Bacterial small subunit ribosomal RNA", at positions 15 to 236 of the family's 1533-position model. The record is from RNAcentral.